This 540-nucleotide ribosomal RNA is filed under the name uncultured Glomeromycotina. RNAcentral's name for it is "SSU rRNA". It matches the Rfam family "Eukaryotic small subunit ribosomal RNA", at positions 548 to 1098 of the family's 1831-position model. The record is from RNAcentral. Lineage: Eukaryota; Fungi; Glomeromycota.
UUGGAGGGCAAGUCUGGUGCCAGCAGCCGCGGUAAUUCCAGCUCCAAUAGCGUAUAUUAAAGUUGUUGCAGUUAAAAAGCUCGUAGUUGAAUUUCGGGAUUAGUACGCUGGUCGUGCCUUCGGUACGUACUGGUGUUACUGAUUUCUACCUUCUGACGAACCAUCAUGUCAUUAAUUUGGUGUGGUGGGGAAUCAGGACUGUUACUUUGAAAGAGUGUUUAAAGCAGGCUCGCGCUUGAAUACAUUAGCAUGGAAUAAUGAAAUAGGACGUUGAUCCUAUUUUGUUGGUUUCUAGGAUUGACGUAAUGAUUAAUAGGGAUAGUUGGGGGCAUUAGUAUUCAAUUGUCAGAGGUGAAAUUCUUGGAUUUAUUGAAGACUAACUACUGCGAAAGCAUUUGCCAAGGAUGUUUUCAUUAAUCAAGAACGAAAGUUAGGGGAUCGAAGACGAUCAGAUACCGUCGUAGUCCUAACCAUAAACUAUGCCGACUAGGGAUCGGAUGAUGUUAUUUUUAAUGACUCAUUCGGCGCCUUACGGGAAAC